UAGGGAAUCUUCGGCAAUGGGGGAAACCCUGACCGAGCAACGCCGCGUGAGUGAAGAAGGUUUUCGGAUCGUAAAGCUCUGUUGUUAAGGAAGAACGAGUGUGAGAAUGGAAAGUUCAUGCUGUGACGGUACUUAACCAGAAAGGGACGGCUAACUACGUGCCAGCAGCCGCGGUAAUACGUAGGUCCCGAGCGUUGUCCGGAUUUAUUGGGCGUAAAGCGAGCGCAGGCGGUUAGAAAAGUCUGAAGUGAAAGGCAGUGGCUCAACCAUUGUAGGCUUUGGAAACUGUUUAACUUGAGUGCAGAAGGGGAGAGUGGAAUUCCAUGUGUAGCGGUGAAAUGCGUAGAUAUAUGGAGGAACACCUGUGGCGAAAGCGGCUCUCUGGUCUGUAACUGACGCUGAGGCUCGAAAGCGUGGGGAGCGAACAGG
Molecule: ribosomal RNA, 429 nt
Filed under: Verrucomicrobiota bacterium
Lineage: Bacteria; Pseudomonadati; Verrucomicrobiota
Description: Verrucomicrobia bacterium partial 16S ribosomal RNA
Rfam family: Bacterial small subunit ribosomal RNA
Source: RNAcentral